Molecule: ribosomal RNA, 253 nt
Filed under: uncultured bacterium
Lineage: Bacteria
Description: partial 16S ribosomal RNA
Rfam family: Bacterial small subunit ribosomal RNA
Source: RNAcentral
GACAGAGGUGCCGAGCGUUAGGCGGAAUCACUGGGCUUAAAGCGUGUGUAGGCGGGCCGUUAAGUGUCUUGUGAAAUCCCCCGGCUCAACCGGGGAAUUGCUGGGCAUACUGGCGGUCUUGAGCAAUCUAGGGGCAGAUGGAACAAGUGGAGGAGCGGUGAAAUGCGUAGAUAUCACUUGGAACGCCAAAGGUGAAGACAGUCUGCUGGGGAUUUGCUGACGCUGAGACACGAAAGCCAGGGGAGCGAACGGG